RNAcentral lists this ribosomal RNA (497 nucleotides) under uncultured bacterium. Its description in RNAcentral is "partial 16S ribosomal RNA". It matches the Rfam family "Bacterial small subunit ribosomal RNA", at positions 28 to 507 of the family's 1533-position model. The record is from RNAcentral.
GAUGAACGCUGGCGGCGUGCCUAAUACAUGCAAGUCGAGCGAACAGAUGAGGGGCUUGCUCCUCUGACGUUAGCGGCGGAAGGGUGAGUAACACGUGGAUAACCUACCUAUAAGACUGGGAUAACUUCGGGAAACCGGAGCUAAUACCGGAUAAUAUAUUGAACCGCAUGGUUCAAUAGUGAAAGACGGUUUUGCUGUCACUUAUAUAUGGAUCCGCGCCGCAUUAGCUAGUUGGUAAGGUAACGGCUUACCAAGGCAACGAUGCGUAGCCGACCUGAGAGGGUGAUCGGCCACACUGGAACUGAGACACGGUCCAGACUCCUACGGGAGGCAGCAGUAGGGAAUCUUCCGCAAUGGGCGAAAGCCUGACGGAGCAACGCCGCGUGAGUGAUGAAGGUCUUCGGAUCGUAAAACUCUGUUAUUAGGGAAGAACAAAUGUGUAAGUAACUAUGCACGUCUUGACGGUACCUAAUCAGAAAGCCACGGCUAACUACGUG